UACGUAGGGGGCAAGCGUUGUCCGGAAUCAUUGGGCGUAAAGCGCGUGUAGGCGGCUCGGUAAGUCCGCUCUGAAAGCCCGGGGCUCAACCCCGGGAGGCGGGUGGAUACUGCUGAGCUCGAGUCCGGAAGAGGAGUGUGGAAUUCCUGGUGUAGCGGUGAAGUGCGCAGAUAUCAGGAGGAACACCAAUGGCGAAGGCAGCACUCUGGGACGGUACUGACGCUGAGACGCGAAAGCGUGGGGAGCAAACAGG
Molecule: ribosomal RNA, 253 nt
Filed under: uncultured bacterium
Lineage: Bacteria
Description: partial 16S ribosomal RNA
Rfam family: Bacterial small subunit ribosomal RNA
Source: RNAcentral